UGUGAUAAAUUAGUCGGUUAAGCAGAUAAUUAGUUAUCUGAGUGAUGUAAAAAUGUAAACUAUUCUGGUGCAGAGAUCAGGUUAGUGGUUGUAAAGUGUUUGUUUUAUUAAAAAAAGGGUUUAAAAGUAACUAAGCUUAAAAAAGUGUUACAACUUGCUUAUUUAUUAUUUUAUUUUCUUAUGAUAGUCAAUGCCUUUGAACUAGGUGGCUAGGCACAAUGUUAUAAUAAGUAGUUAAAUGUUUGAUUUUAAUUCUCGCUAUAGUUCGAAAUGUUUAUUAAAAACAUUUCCACUUUUAUGCUUAAGUGGUAUGACCUGCUCAGUGUUUGUAUAAAUAGCCGCAGUAUUUUGACUGUGCUAAGGUAGCAUAAUUAAUUGUCCCCUAAAUAGGGAAUUGUUUGAAUGGUUUAUUGGGGUUAUAAGGAAUAAAGUAAGAACAUUUAUGAAAUUAGUAAGGUGGUAAAGAACCCACCUAUAGUACAAUAGACGGAAAGACCCCGAGAGCUUAUUUUAAAAUUUGUUUGGGGCAAAAGCUUGAUUUUAUAAGCAUUUAGAACCCCUAAGGGUUUAUUGGUUAAGUUACCUCGGGGAUAACAGGGUUAGAAGUAAGGAGAGUUCUUAUCGAGUUACUUAGUUGCUACCUCGAUG
This 648-nucleotide ribosomal RNA is filed under the name Haliotrema aurigae. RNAcentral's name for it is "partial 16S ribosomal RNA". The stretch from base 456 to 648 matches the Rfam family "Bacterial large subunit ribosomal RNA", at positions 2049 to 2531 of the family's 2925-position model. The record is from RNAcentral. Lineage: Eukaryota; Metazoa; Platyhelminthes; Monogenea; Dactylogyridea; Ancyrocephalidae.